CUUCCUUGGUGAGCGGUUUUGGCGUAUUUUGUGAAAUUGAAGACGCAGCGGGAUUAGAGCGGGAAAUCCUACAGGUCAGGUGAAUCGAGAAGGUGAUCAGGCUGCUUAGAGUAGUGGGAUUGAGGUUACAGCUUUAUUGUGAGGUUGUUAUGCUCAUUGAGCUUGCAUUUAAAUUUGGAGAGAGUGUGUUGUAAUAUUUAGUAACUUGAGGAUUUGUUUUAUUGUUUUAUUGUGAGGUGUGAAGAGUAGUUGUUUUGAGAAAAAAAUUUAGGACGUUUAUUUGUAAUAGUAAUUAUUCAUGUUUC
Rosa chinensis is the source of this 305-nucleotide long non-coding RNA. RefSeq lists it as uncharacterized. The transcript is spliced from 2 exons. The record is from RefSeq and is a predicted model, not a curated record. NCBI's taxonomy places the organism in Eukaryota, Viridiplantae, Streptophyta, Magnoliopsida, Rosales, Rosaceae.